GUUUUAAACCCGUGGGAGGAGGACGAGGCUUGCAUUCCUGCUCUGAAUAAGCCCCAAGGAGAGGGACAACCCCAACCCCAACCCCAAAACAUUCCCCCCGACACCACUUCGGGCACAGGCCCUGCUGCGAGCUGGCGACGCGGGUUGCUCCUCGGGACCUGCGGCGAUGAAAACCAGCCCAGCUCGAGUUUUAAGGAAGGAAAGAGAAGGGGAAGGGGAAGAGGAAGGAAGCUGAGGGCAGGCACCCUGCCGACCCGCCGGGCCGGCCCUGCUCUCCCCGCCUCCCUGAGGCGCGGCCUGGCCCGGCCUGCUGCGACAGCGGCGGCGGCGGCGGCGGGGAGGCCGGGCGGCUCCAUGGCUUUCAUCCGCAGGAGGCGGCUGGAGCAGGAGCUGUACUCCAAGGAGAGGCUGCUGCUGAGCUGGGUGGCCUGCUUGUUCGUCCCUGGCAGUGUACUUCUGAGGACUGUACUUCAGUAUUGGGUCAAGUGAUUGUCCAAGGUGUGUCCAGUCAACCACCUGAAACUGUUCUGCCCCAGUAGUUUCCCAGCGUGUGCAAUGAAGUGAUGGAAAUGGAAACAAUUCAAUCACAGAUGAAGAAUCUAAAGCAGGAUCAAUUAGCUGCUGUUUCUUCUGGAUAAUGUAAAUGUGUUUUUUUUUGUUUUUUUUUUUUUUCUGAGAUGCUGGUCCCUGCAUGCUUGUUCCUGUACCUGAUUUGGUGCUUCAGGUGAUAGAUGACAUUGGUGCAUAAAAUAAAUUGUGGUUUUGUUUUUUUUUAUGUUGUUGCUGUCGGGUUGGAUUUUGGUUCUCUCCCUGCUGAAUCUCACUUGGUCUUUGAGAACUGAGCCCGAUGUAACACACUUUCUACUUGGGGGAUAUUUUACAGCAUCUUGGCAGGACUUACAAACCUCAAGUUGUAGUUGGUAAAUGAAGAGUUCAGUGUAUGGCUUUGUAUUUUACUUGGAACAAUGCUAGGAAUGUUUGGGUGCAAUUUGGGUUCCCAAACCUUGUUUAUAGGAGAUGACCUCACAUGAGGUUAGGUUUUGCAAGUGUUCUCCUGCUGCUUAGUUUUUGUAUGCGUCUAGGGUGUGUUCUUGACUCAUAUUCCUCAGCCCUUUUCUGAGUGGCAAUUAUGUUGGAGCUUUUUGAAAAAGGCAAAAAUGAGCAAGACAAUACUCUUCAAAAAAAAAAAAUAAAAAAUAAAAGAGCAAUCAGAGUCUUUCACUUCUUUGUUUGUGUACCAGCCUUACCUGCGGUACUCUUUCUUCUUCCUGCUACAGAUUAAGUUCUGUUUGUCUUGGCAAGGUGCUUGCCUUCUCCUUUCCCCUUCCUCCUUUUUUUUUUCCCCUGAAGCUACUUUUGGAACCAAUACUGAUUCUCAUCACAAGGGAACACCUUCCACAUCACUUCCAUUUGAUUUUUUUUUCGAUUUUCUUAAUGCCACUCUUCUGGGACAACACAUAAACAGGAAUAUGAAAAAGCCUUCAAGCAAAUUUGUAUUAGCAUGCUUUAAUUUACACUUCAGUGUAGGUACUUAGAUUUUAAGCAACAGCUAUUAAAAGAUUGAUCCUCGUGAGUAAAGAGUUAAUGGACAAACACCAGUGGAUGCGGAGUGGGUAUCAAAGAUGUUUCGACAGAAACGCUAUUAGGGCCUUCAUUGAAGUUUCUUCUUUUUCUUCCUCCAAGCUGCUUCUGCUGUUGGUCUCAGAUACAGCUCAGAUUUAAUGCAAACCCUGUAACAGCUCAGAUGCCCUUCCACCUGUGUUAAAGCUCGAGGCUUUGCCCUGCUAGCCGUGGAGGCUGUCGAUUCAUUUCAUCCUGGAAGGGGCACUGCUGCCUUCUCACUCUGACAGCAGGGCUGCUGCCCUCUGAGCAGAAAGGUCUCAGUUUCUGGCCACGGUGUUCUUGCCCCCUGACCCCUUCAUGCUGUACAGUCUGUGUUACUUGUUGUUCCCCUCCAUGAAUCUCAUUCAGGUUAUUAAACCUGAGCAAAACUAUCCUGAGGGAACUCAGCAGCUCCGAGUGGAAGCUGGUGUUCCUCUCUGUCUGCUAAUUUGAUGGCUUCUGCAGUUUGAAGUGAGUUGUCUCCUGAACUGUAAGUGGUCUCUGAGGAAGCUGGUAGGCUGGGUUGGACAAGAGAAGCUGUUAAAGCCUUUUUCCUUCAGAUUUUGAAAUGAUCAAAUGCAUUAGGCACAUAUCAUUUUCUGAGAAGCUUUCUUGAAAGCUUACUUACUGUUGGCAAGACUUUAUUCAAGGAUAAAGACCAGACUGCUAAGAAGCUAAAACAUAAGGCAUUGAGCAUUCCCCCAUACAGAUAUUUUAACAGCAUCUGAGCUUUCUUUGAAAAUCUUGUCUGUUUUGUUCCUCUCUGUCACUUUCAAAUCAAUAUAUCGCUUUUUAAAAAUAGUUUAAUGUGUCGAGGUCAAUGUAUGAGGAAAAAAUUAUAAAUUGUAUCUGAAGAAAUGCCUGAAGAAAUUUCUGAAGAAAUGUGGCUUACUGACCUUAUCAAUCUGUUGUAAGUAACUAAAUAGCCUGGUGACCACAAAAAUUGUGAAUGUUAAGCCUGUGAAAU
This 2569-nucleotide long non-coding RNA is filed under the name Anas platyrhynchos (mallard). RNAcentral's name for it is "lncRNA (ENSAPLG00020014824.1)". The record is from RNAcentral. Lineage: Eukaryota; Metazoa; Chordata; Aves; Anseriformes; Anatidae.